UACGAAGGGGGCUAGCGUUGCUCGGAAUCACUGGGCGUAAAGCGCACGUAGGCGGCUUCUUAAGUCAGGGGUGAAAUCCUGGAGCUCAACUCCAGAACUGCCUUUGAUACUGGGAGGCUCGAGUCCGGGAGAGGUGAGUGGAACUGCGAGUGUAGAGGUGAAAUUCGUAGAUAUUCGCAAGAACACCAGUGGCGAAGGCGGCCUUCUGGACCAAUACUGACGCUCAUGCACGAAAGCGUGGGGAGCAAACAGG
Molecule: ribosomal RNA, 253 nt
Filed under: uncultured bacterium
Lineage: Bacteria
Description: partial 16S ribosomal RNA
Rfam family: Bacterial small subunit ribosomal RNA
Source: RNAcentral